RNAcentral lists this ribosomal RNA (444 nucleotides) under Triticum aestivum (bread wheat). RNAcentral's name for it is "partial small subunit ribosomal RNA". Lineage: Eukaryota; Viridiplantae; Streptophyta; Magnoliopsida; Poales; Poaceae. The record is from RNAcentral.
AUGCGUGCAGGGCCGUUGGGAUUGCCGUGGAGAGCGAUGAGGAGAAGAGCAGGCACUUCGCCUGCAGGCUGUGAUUUGGAGAGACGGGAGGAGACUGACUGUGUGGACCACAUUCUUGCCCAUUGUGCCUACGCCAGAGAGGUUUGGCAUCGAUGCUUCGAUGCCCUACAGAUUAAUGUGUUGGUGCCGAACACUGAGGAGAAGUUCACUGACUGGUGGCUGCGGCAAACAAGAAGUUUUUCGAGGAAAGUUCUUCGUGGAUUUGACUCCUUCAUCUUAGCUACAGCCUGGGCGCUGUGGAAGCAAAGAAAUGCGAGAAUCUUCAAUAAAAUCCAACAACAGAGAACCCCACCAGAGCUUGUUAGGAUUGUGUUGGCCGAGAUCAAAGAAUGGAAGCUUGCAGGCAUUGGAGCUGGAGGAUUAGAUCCUUUCGUGAGAGAGUAG